Long non-coding RNA from Dipodomys spectabilis (banner-tailed kangaroo rat), 307 nucleotides. RefSeq lists it as uncharacterized. Lineage: Eukaryota; Metazoa; Chordata; Mammalia; Rodentia; Heteromyidae. The transcript has 3 exons. The record is from RefSeq and is a predicted model, not a curated record.
AGAUACUUCACCACUAUCAUGUCCAUUUAUACAGAUGAGGACACUGAGGCUCAGAACGGUCAAAUAACUUGCUUGAGGUCACACAGCUGCCUUGUCAUGGAUCUGUCCUCGAGAGCUAACUGAAUGGUAUCCUAACGAUGUAUGUGCAUGUGUAUACAACCCGAGGAAAAUGACCUCCUCUGUAACUUCCAGAAGACCAACACCAGCAAAUGCUCCAUAGGACCUUGGACUUGACACAUCCAGAAAUUCCUCAAAUCAGGCCCCCUGUCUAUUGUGGCUUGACUGAGGCUCCACCAGAGUGCUGAAC